GAUGUAAACAAACUGUUUGUAAACAAACGAGCAACAACCACACAGCUGGCAGGAUAAUCCCAUAAAGGUCUUCUGUCUGAGUCUGAGGGCAGCACACACACACACACACACACACACACACACACACACACACACACUAACAGAGCUUAAAUCAGAGCAGGGUGGGGGACACCAGAGGACAGGCAGCUUCUGACCGACUGACCCAGUUAGAAGCUGCUGCAGCUCGGUUCUAAUGGGAGACAAGGUGAGUCCUGAACAGUCUCAUCAUAUGUAAACAAUAAACACAAAACAAUUCAAAGGAUAAACAACAAAUAAUCUGCUUCAAACAUGCCUCCUUAGUGGAACAUGUUCUUAUUUCAGGUYCAGACAAACAGCUUUGCCCCGCGGUGCCGGUCCUAAAUUUGGAAGGAGUCUGGUCCGGCACACAUCCCUGUUGCCAGGCAACGCUGGCUUACUGAUCCGUAUUAGAACACAGCAGCAUAUGUGUUCCUGUGUGUGUGUGUGUGUGUGUGUGUGUGUGUGUGUGUGUGUGUGUGUGUGUGUGUCUACCUUUAUGAUUUUGACAAUCUUCUAUCCUUGUGAGGACGUUUUACAUGGUCAGGUUAGUGUGUGAGCAGGUUUGGACAUCAGCAGUCUGCUGGAAUAAUGCUCUCCUGAGCUGUAACCAUGUGUUUUUAUUAAAGCCCAACAACAUGAAACAACAGACACUAGUACAACAACUGUAAUACUGUAGUAAUAUUAGUAUAACAACUGUAAUGCAGUAGUAAUAUUAGUACAACUGUAAUACUGUAGUAAUAUUACUGUAAUAAAUGUGGAUCACAGGAAGAAAAGUCUCUACUGUACUAUAGUAAAAACUAAUGUGGAUUCUUCAAUAAAUUAACAUAACACUGGUUACCACAACAGCCACUCUACAACUAUUACAGACACUCUACCAUAUUAUAACAGCUGCUCUACAAUGAUUACAGCGGCUCUAUGGUUAUUACAGCUGCUCUACAAUUAUAAAAGCUGUCCUACAGUUAUAUAGCUACUCUAUGGUUAUUACAGAAUCUUAACAGUUAUAACAGCUGCUCUAUGGUUAUUACAAACACUCCAUGUUAUUACAGCCACUCUACGGUUAUUACAGACUUGCUACGGUUAUUACAUAAUUAUUACAGCUGCUCUAUGGUUUUUUCAGACACUAUGCUGUUAUAACAGCUGCUCUACAAUUAUUGCAGCUGCUCUAAAAUUAUAAAAGCUAUAAUCAGCUAUAACAGCUGCUCUACGGUUAUUACAGAUACUCUACCAUUAUAACAGCUGCUCUACAAUUAUUGUAGCUGCUCUAAAAUUAUAAAAUCUGUGCUCAGUUUAACAGCUGCUCUACAAUUAAAAAAGCUGUCCUACAGUUAUAUAGCUACUCUAUGGUUAUUGCAGAAUCUUAACAGUUAUAACAGCUGCUCUAUGGUUAUUACAAACACUCUACAGUUAUUACAGCCACUCCACGUUAUUACAGACUUGCUACGGUUAUUACAGACUUGCUACGGUUAUUACACAAUUAUUACAGCUGCUCUACGGGUAUUACAGUAUCUUUAGUUAUAACAGAUGCUCUAAGGUUGUUAUAGCAGCUCUAUAGUUUUAACAGCUGCUCUACAACUUUUACAAUCACUCUACAGGUAUUAUAGAUAUCGUACAGUUACAACAGCUGCUCUAAGGUUAUUGCAGUGGCUCUACAACUAUAACAGCCGCUCCACAAAAACAACAGCUGCUCUACAAGUAUUACAGCCACCCUACGGUUAUAACAGAUGCUGUAGUUAUAACAGCUACUCUAAGGUUAUUAGAGCAGCUCUACAGUAAUAACAGCUGCUCCAUGGGUAUUACAGCUUCUCUUCUUAGGUUAUAACAGCUGCUCUACAAGUAUUACAGCCACUCUAUGGGUAUUACAGCUGCACUGUGGUUUUAAACCUAUAUUAUGUUUUUUCCAGUUUGAAUGCAGCUGGAGACUCAAUUUGUUGCUUUAUCACACUUCUGUUUUUAAUAAUCUAAUUAAAAAAAACAUGAAACAUUUUCCUGCAGAGAUCCAGAACUAAUUAUUAACAACCCAAUCAGUGCUACAGUUGUUUUUAUUGAGUCUUAAAAUGACACAGAACUGACUUGGUUUGUUGGGAUGUGAAAGUUAAACUCUGCUCUUUGGAAACUCCAAACGAACCACAUCAGUUCAGUUUUUACUGAUGUCAUGACGUUUAACCUUCCAGAUCCUGGGGUUUUAGUCACGAGCUGAUGUCUUUCCACCUUGGAUCAGUGCAAACACACACCUGUCUGCUACAGAGCCUCGCUUAGUUUUAGUCAAAACAAGACAAUGUUUAGUUGUUUGUCUUAAUGUUGUAUUAAACUCAAUCAUACAGCAGAUCAGUA
Molecule: long non-coding RNA, 2388 nt
Organism: Austrofundulus limnaeus
Lineage: Eukaryota; Metazoa; Chordata; Actinopteri; Cyprinodontiformes; Rivulidae
Exons: 2
Source: RefSeq, a predicted model, not a curated record